This is a non-coding RNA of Peromyscus maniculatus bairdii (prairie deer mouse), 2290 nucleotides long. The record is from RefSeq and is a predicted model, not a curated record. NCBI's taxonomy places the organism in Eukaryota, Metazoa, Chordata, Mammalia, Rodentia, Cricetidae.
AGACCCGCAAGUCUGGAGCAGCACAGGCUCCAUGAACAUCUCCCUCUUCCACAAGGCCUCGCACCCUGACUGCGUGCUGGCCCACCUCAACACUCUGCGUAAGCACGUAUGUUCACUGAUGUCACGCUCUGGGCUGGUGACCGCGCCUUUCCCUGCCAUCGGGCAGUGCUGGCGGCCUCCAGCCGAUACUUUGGGGCCAUGUUCAGCCACGGCCUGCUGAAAGCCGGGAUGAUACGGUCAACAUCCAGGACAACCUGCACCCCGAGGUGCUGGAGCUGCUGCUGGCAUCGUCAUCAACGAGGAGAAUGCAGAGUCGCUGCUGGAGGCCGGUGACAUGCUUUAGUUCCAAGACUUCCGGGAUGCAGCUGCCGAGUUUUUCGAACCUUUCCUCCUCCGACUGCCUGGGCAUGAUGCUGCUGUCCGAUGCCCACCAGUGCGGACGGCUCUACAAGUUCUCCUGCCGCAUGUGCCUGGUGCACUUUGAGACGGUGCGGCAGUGAGGACUUCAACAGUCUGUCGAAAGACACGCUGCUGGACCUCAUCUCGAGUGACGAGCUGGAGACAGAGGACAAACGUGUGUGAUCUUUGAGGCCAUCCUGCAGUAGAUGAAGCAUGACCUGGAGCAGAGGAAGGCUCACCUGCCGCUGCUCCUGCGCAGCGUGCGGCUGGCCCUGCUGCCCUCGGACUGCCUGAAGGAGGCCGUGUCCGGGGAGACCCUCCUCAUGGUGGAAGAGCGCACCAAGCUCAUCAUAGAUGAGGCCUUCCACUGCAAGACCAAGAUCUUGCAGAAUGACGGUGUGGUCACCAGUCCCUUUGCCUGGCCACGGAAGCCAGGCUACACGCUGCUCAUCCUGGGGGGCCAGACCUUCAUGUGUGACAAGAUCUACCAGGUGGACCACAAAGCCAAAGAGAUUAUCCCCAAGGCGGAUCUGCCAAGCUCCCGGAAGGAGUUCAGUGCCUCAGCGAUUAGUUCCAAGGUCUAUGUGACCGGAGGUAGGGGCUCUGAGAAUGGGGUCUCUAAGGAUGUCUGGGUAUUUGACACUGUCCACGAGGAGUGGUCCAAGGUGGCCCCCAUGCUGAUUGCCCGCUUUGGCCAUGGCUCGGCUGAGCUGGAGAACUGCCUCUAUGUGGUGAGGGACAUACAUCUCUAGCAGGCAUUUUCCCUGCCUCUCCUUCUGUCUCCCUGAAACAAGUAGAGAAAUAUGACCCCGUGGCCAAUAAGUGGACUAUGGUGGCCCCGAUGAGAGACGGUGUCAGCAACGCCGCCGUGGUGAGGGCCAAGCUGAAGCUCUUUGUGUUCGGAGGGACCAGCAUCCACCGGGACAUGGUGUCCAAAGUCCAGUGUUUUGCCCCCUCCGAGAACCGGUGGACAAUCAAGGUGGAGUGUCCCUAGCCUUGGCGAUACACGGCUGCUGCUGUCCUGGGCAGCCAGAUCUUCAUCAUGGGAGGUGAUACGGAGUACACAGCAGCCUCAGCCUAUCGCUUCAACUGUGAGACCAACCAGUGGACUUGGAUUGGGGACAUGACCGCCAAACACAUGUCCUGUCAUGCCCUGGCUUCGGGCAACAAGCUGUAUGUAGUGGGAGGCUACUUUGGAACGCAGAGGUGUAAGACCCUGGACUACUACGACCCCACUUCAGACACAUGGAACUGCAUCACCACCGUGCCUUACUCUCUCAUCCCCACGGCCUUUGUUAGCACCUGGAAACACCUGCCUGUGUGAGAGGCACCAGUGUCCCCCGCAGGAGGUUUGCAGAGGCUUUCUGAUGCCACUGUUGACGCCAGUCUCCUCCCUUGUUUGGCUAGCCCGGUGUAGGGAGGACGACAGGCACUCCUGUGUCUGGCACAGAGUGGGCAGGGUGCCUAGCCGGUGGCUUCCCAGGCCAUUGCUGUGCAGGAUGGAGCAUGCAGAGUGGGUUCUGCCAUUGGCAGAAGUGGAGCCAUGACGCAGACCAAUGUGGCCAGCGCUCAAGUCCUCACAGCUCAGUCUGGUCCUGAUGCUGUGGGUGCGGAUUAGAGGGUAGGACUUCAAGGCGAGGCUCCCCGUGAAUGUGCUCUGGGAAAGAGCCCAAAGUCUGCUUCCUGAUGUGACUUAGGCUCAGACCGGCCCUCAUCCGUGGUCCAGCUCACUUUCUACUCUACACCUGAUCACCGAUGUUGGAGACUUGCAGGGUCUGGCCUGUGGACUAAUCACUCUGCACAGCACAGAGGUCCUAGCCACGGUGCUUGUCUGAGCCUAGGUGUUGCUUUUAGUAGUUUUCUAACUUAAUAUAAGUGAGAAAGUUUCUGA